UUUGGGCUUAAAGAAAAGUUCGGGUCUAAUUGGGCCCAUUGGGCCUAAACCCAUUGGGCUUUUAUUCAAGCAUAGGAUGACUUGAAAUAAUAGCCCAAAGCCCAAACAACACUAAAGGGGCCGGCCAAAGGAGGGAGAGAGAGAGUCAAAUGUUGACUUGUUUCUUUUUGGUUAUAAAAGGAACUUUAUAGCACAAAGUUUCAUCAGGGUUUUUUGAAAUGUUAAAACAAAAAAAAGAGAAAAAAAAGAAAAUAUCUCUCUCAACACUCAAAGGGUCGGCUACCAAAGGGGGGUUUAGCUAAUCAUCUUCUCACCCGUUUGGUUAUUCCUUCAUCCUUCUCACUACUCUAGUGGGUGAGGAUCUUUAGAGGUCUUCAACUUUGGAGACUUAAGGAGAACCAAGGAGCACUCAUUCUAACAAAGUGGAGGAGGCAAGGAAGGAGGCUAGGCUCAAGGAGUUCCAACAACAAAGGGCUUGGAGGUGGUCCAUCCUUGGUCUAAAGUCUAGAUCAAGAGGUAUAUAAAACUACUCCUACACUUUGUUCUUCAAUAAAUUGUUUUUGAUGCAUCAUACAUAAACCUAUGCAUCUUGAAGGGGAUUUGCAUGACUAUAGCUUUGAUAUUAUUUGAUAACAUGCUUCCGUUGCUUUCGUAUAUAAAUUUUGAAUUGUAUAUGCAUGCUAGUCACUAGAAAUCCCACAUGAAAUCUCACAAUUUCCCUUCACUCUUUUAACACCCUAAUUUGUUUAUCUUCUUCCAAUGGAUUGAGGUCAGAUGCUAUGAUAACUGGGAAAGUUCAAAUUCAGCGAGGUAAGCAUAUUUUAGAUGUGGUGGAAGUGGUUUAAGUUCAAGUUUUGAAGGUUUAACAAUGGAAGGGAUUAUAUGUGUGGCCAAUGGUUGUAAUGACUCUAUAAGACAUGAAAUAGUGGAGGGAUAUGGUUUUAAUGAAGGAAAAUUUUGUCCUAGCUAAGAACAUGUGAGAACAUUUGAACACAUAUGCAAACUAAUAACACAUUAAAGUAGGCAUGCAUUAAAAAAAAAUUCUAAAACCCAUGACUUUCAAAGCCUAGUGAAUGGUGAACCACAAGACUCUUUAACAAUAUUAAAGAGAAGGAGGGAUUUAGAGAUUCAUUACCCUUGAAGCUCAUCCUUGUUUACACAAGGGAUUCACCCAAGUGGAGGGUCUUCAAGUCACCUCCUAGCUCUUUGGAUCUUCCUUGUGUUUUUCUUCCUUUUGAUUCUCCUUUGCUCCUUGAGGAUGUGAGGAAAGGAUCUCCAAGAACACCAAAGAUUUGGUGUCUCUAAGUCUCCACACCAAGGAUAAGGUGUGAAGAUGAAAUGGAUGACUUAGAGAAGAAAAGAUUGCUAGCUAAUUCUUCCCUAAGUGGCCAGCCUCCUUUUAGAGAAAAAGAGAGAAAAUGUUUCUCUUCUUUGCCUUAAGAAAACCCUAAUGAGAAAAAGCUAUAAAGUUGACUUUAUACAGCAUCACAUGUGAACUGCAAACUUGUAAUUAAUUCAAGUUUGCAUCCACUUACCCUUAUGGCCGGCCUUGUCUUUGUUAUUGGGCUAAUUGCCCAUUUUGUUUAGUUGUCAUACAACUUAAACAUAAUGGGCCUUGUGGACCAAAACGCUUUUGGGCCCCGAAACCCAAAACCAACUUAAAAGCCUAAUACGAACCUUUCGUAAAAUUAAUUAACUAAUUAAUUAAUCUUGACCAUUCUCAAUUAAACCAUUUAAUCGCUUAUCCAUCUCAUUUAUAUUUCUUCACUUUCAUCCUUACUCGGUGUACGAUCCAUUAGGUUCCAAUUAGCGAGGCAGUGGGCAAUUGUUACUUUUAACGAUCGAUUGUGAAUUGAAACAACAUUUCAAUUCUCCCUUUGUUGAAGAUUAGUAUUUGCUAAUCUUCAGGGCUUCCACAAACCGUGAGUGACACCUAGCAGUAUGUCAUGGCUACCCAAGCUAAGUAGAAGUGGUUGGAGAAUCUAUCCAGUUACAAUUACAAUGCAAUACGGUCAUUUUCUAAUACAAUACUCUUAAUCACAUUGUUUGAGUGAUAGUUUGUUUCAUGUCUACUAUCCAAUGUGAUACUUCUUUAUAUGAUUCAAUUGAAUAUGAUUUGGAACAAACUUCCUAAGUCAUAUUCAUAUGCUUUGGCCAAAGACUCCUGAAUCAUAUCUUAGAGUAUUCUCCCUCCACCAUGGAAGGUUAGGGAUCCCUUGUUGUGUAUUCAUAUGCCUACAUGACUAGAUAUCUUGACCCCAACAAUGUCGUGGACACUCUCGAUGGAAUGCCUUUGACAUCAUCAAAGAUCAAGGACCUAACCAUUAGACAUCUAUGAUGCCUCAGGUCAAAUGACUACUUUGCAUAUUGCAACUAACGAGUUCUUACAUGACAUGUAUGUUCGAACUCUCUUUUGAUCGUUGUUCAGUGUACUCGAUUACCCUUUCGAGCACCUACGUGUUUGUCUUAGUGUCCAACACUAAAUGACUUGAGACUAG
Molecule: long non-coding RNA, 2498 nt
Filed under: Malus domestica (apple)
Lineage: Eukaryota; Viridiplantae; Streptophyta; Magnoliopsida; Rosales; Rosaceae
Description: long non-coding RNA (MDOM_LNC007539)
Source: RNAcentral